This 519-nucleotide ribosomal RNA is filed under the name uncultured bacterium. RNAcentral's name for it is "partial 16S ribosomal RNA". It matches the Rfam family "Bacterial small subunit ribosomal RNA", at positions 28 to 507 of the family's 1533-position model. The record is from RNAcentral.
GACGAACGCUGGCGGCGUGCCUAAUACAUGCAAGUCGAGCGAGUCUGCCUUGAAGAUCGGAGUGCUUGCACUCUGUGAGACAAGAUACAGGCUAGCGGCGGACGGGUGAGUAACACGUGGGUAACCUGCCCAAGAGAUCGGGAUAACACCUGGAAACAGAUGCUAAUACCGGAUAACAACAGAUGAUGCCUAUCAACUGUUUAAAAGAUGGUUCUGCUAUCACUCUUGGAUGGACCUGCGGUGCAUUAGCUAGUUGGUAGGGUAACGGCCUACCAAGGCGAUGAUGCAUAGCCGAGUUGAGAGACUGAUCGGCCACAUUGGGACUGAGACACGGCCCAAACUCCUACGGGAGGCAGCAGUAGGGAAUCUUCCACAAUGGACGCAAGUCUGAUGGAGCAACGCCGCGUGAGUGAAGAAGGGUUUCGGCUCGUAAAGCUCUGUUGUUGGUGAAGAAGGACAGGGGUAGUAACUGGCCUUUGUUUGACGGUAAUCAAUUAGAAAGUCACGGCUAACUACGUG